GAUGAACGCUGGCGGCGUGCCUAAUACAUGCAAGUCGAGCGAACGGACGAGAAGCUUGCUUCUCUGAUGUUAGCGGCGGACGGGUGAGUAACACGUGGAUAACCUACCUAUAAGACUGGGAUAACUUCGGGAAACCGGAGCUAAUACCGGAUGAUAUUUUGAACCGCAUGGUUCAAAAGUGAAAGACGGUCUUGCUGUCACUUAUAGAUGGAUCCGCGCUGCAUUAGCUAGUUGGUAAGGUAACGGCUUACCAAGGCAACGAUGCAUAGCCGACCUGAGAGGGUGAUCGGCCACACUGGAAGUGAGACACGGUCCAGACUCCUACGGGAGGCAGCAGUAGGGAAUCUUCCGCAAUGGACGAAAGCCUGACGGAGCAACGCCGCGUGAGUGAUGAAGGUCUUCGGAUCGUAAAGCUCUGUUAUUAGGGAAGAACAUAUGUGUAAGUAACUGUGCACAUCUUGACGGUACCUAGUCAGAAAGCCACGGCUAACUACGUG
This 497-nucleotide ribosomal RNA is filed under the name uncultured bacterium. Its description in RNAcentral is "partial 16S ribosomal RNA". It matches the Rfam family "Bacterial small subunit ribosomal RNA", at positions 28 to 507 of the family's 1533-position model. The record is from RNAcentral.